AGUGAACGCUGGCGGUAGGCCUAACACAUGCAAGUCGAACGGCAGCACAGUAAGAGCUUGCUCUUACGGGUGGCGAGUGGCGGACGGGUGAGGAAUACAUCGGAAUCUACUUUUUCGUGGGGGAUAACGUAGGGAAACUUACGCUAAUACCGCAUACGACCUACGGGUGAAAGCAGGGGAUCUUCGGACCUUGCGCGAUUGAAUGAGCCGAUGUCGGAUUAGCUAGUUGGCGGGGUAAAGGCCCACCAAGGCGACGAUCCGUAGCCGGUCUGAGAGGAUGAUCAGCCACACUGGAACUGAGACACUGUCCAGACUCCUACGGGAGGCAGCAGUGGGGAAUAUUGGACAAUGGGCGCAAGCCUGAUCCAGCCAAACCGCGUGGGUGAAGAAGGCCUUCGGGUUGUAAAGCCCUUUUGUUGGGAAAGAAAAGCAGCAGGUUAAUACCCCGCUGUUCUGACGGUACCCAAAGAAUAGGCACCGGCUAACUUCG
Molecule: ribosomal RNA, 490 nt
Filed under: uncultured bacterium
Lineage: Bacteria
Description: partial 16S ribosomal RNA
Rfam family: Bacterial small subunit ribosomal RNA
Source: RNAcentral